This 2194-nucleotide long non-coding RNA is filed under the name Pogonomyrmex barbatus (red harvester ant). RNAcentral describes it as "uncharacterized LOC105430206". The record is from RNAcentral. Lineage: Eukaryota; Metazoa; Arthropoda; Insecta; Hymenoptera; Formicidae.
UCUGAUAUUACAUUCUGAUAUAUCUAGUAUAUGCAUAUGCACGUGUGCAAGUGUGUAUCUUAAAUAGAUAGGAUAUAAAUUAUAAAUAAGACCAGACUCUUGAAUUCUUGAUGUAAAUUAUAGCUCGUGUUUAAAGUGGGCUUAAAAACUAAAAGGAUCGAUGUGGAGGAUCUGGUUCAUAAAUCCUCUCGAUUGUUAUUUGGAUUCUUUCCCAAUCUCUCUCUGAAUCUCCUUUUCGCUUUUUUCCCCCGCCUUCCCCUUAACUCUUUAGCUUCUCUAUUUCUAAUACAUCAAGAAAUAUCUCUCUAUCCGAGAUUCGAAUCGUAUCGAGAAAUAUCUAUGACAUAUGAACGCCGCACGCAGCAUCAGCAUCAGCAUCAGCAUCAGCAGCAGCAACAACUGAGGUUGACUCGUCUCAGCGAAGGUUUUCACCCCACUUUCGGCCAGAUAUGAUCCCCACCUGGGCUCUGGUUGCGUACUCACCCCACCCUCAGGUUCUCCAACAACACCUGUCGUUACGACGGCGAACGACUGGCUUUCCGCCAGUCUGACGUAUAUACAGUUGUCGCAGGUUCUCUCGAGAUUGUUGUUGCGUGCAGUGAGUCCUGCCGUCCGCCCGUUCGACCGUCGUUCUCUUUUUUCCAGCGCGACGAUUUAUUCGCUGUUGUUUACAUACCGCACACCGAGAUCGAGCUUGUCAUCCGCGCGAGUUUGCCUCGCGGUUUGUUUUCCUUUGCCAUCGCGCGUGCGAGACGAAGCUGUGUCAGACGUCAAUCGCGAGAUCACAUAAGAUUUCCGAAUCGCAUGGGAACGUCCCGUGUGAGUGACAGCGAGGCAAGACAACGGUUAUUUUCUUCCACACAUCGUACAACAAAGAAUAAUAAGGAAACGAUAAUCUAUUAGUGGGAUUUGUCAUAUACGAGGAUCGGCGUGUGAAGAAUAUUAAUUGCUCCGACGAUUAUAUGCAAUGAUUCGACGAAGGAAGAUGAUUGAUUUACAAAACAAUUCUCGGAGACGAAUAGAAACAUUGGAUUAGCAUGUCAAUGAGACGAAAUUCGACUCGCUUUUGCAAAAGAAAAGCGAUAAUCGAGGAAAUUUGAGGAAAAACACCGACCAAGAAUCGUUCGUGAAGAAAUCUCUUCGAAGAGAGGUUUUAAAGAAAAAAAUCAUUUUUUUCAAGACCUGUGUCACAAAGUAUAUCUCAUAGAAAAAGGUUUUUUUUAUCUGAAAAAAAAAAACUUCCAAUCAAAGUGAUUCCUUAAGGAAAGGAUUGUUAAAACGAAAGAAACCUAUGAUGAAAAACAUUCCUUCAGAGAUUCUAUUUGUUUUUUUAACGAGAAGUUUUCUAAAAGAUACUUGUCUGAAUGUGAAUAUCGAUUUUUAAAUGAAACAUAUACUUGAAUAAAAGUACUAUUAGUGAAAGAUAUAAGAUAAGAUUAAUGAAGAGAUAGCUGUUUAUGAGAAUAAGAUUUUGAAAAACUUUUCUGGAGACAUUCACGAACUUCGAGGACACUUAAAAGAAAACGAUUAGUGAAUGAUAUUUACAUAAAAAAAUAAAGACACACUGCUUCACUCUCUCUCUUUCGCGAAUAACAAUUAAUUUUUCUUGUUUGAUUCUUUUAAAGAGACGUUUUUAAGAAAAGAAUCACGGAAGAGCAAUCAUUCUUACAGCUUUACUUUUUUCUCUUCUUUUUUUCGUGAUCGACCGUUUCUUAUUUUCUUAUUUUCGACGGCGGUCGGUUUUUCAUUUUUCGUGGUCUCGAUAGAGAUCGAUAUCGUCACAUAUAGUCGAUAAACGAGAAUGAUAUUCAUGGUAGUGAUCAUGGAUGCGUCGCGGAACAUCGCGACGCUGGGUCGGCGAAUUAAGCGUCGCGACUUCGGUUUUACGUAAUAUCAGUCUGCUACUAUUGCUACUGCUGCUGUUACCAACAUCGUCGGGUGGGAUUCGUCAAGGUCACGGGGCCGCGGAAAACGCGCUGCACACCCGUAACAAGACGCCAUCACCGCCGCAGCCAAAGUCGUUGUUGGUUCUAUUAAUCCAGUGAAAAGCAAAGCGUUCCACCAAUCAAGUUGAACGAGUUCAAAAGCUUUUAAAGAGAAUAAGAAAAGUAAAAUGGUCCAAGUGAUUCAGUAAGUCGAUUAAUUUGACUGGAUUUGAAUGAAUCGAGGAAAUCGAGGUGCAAAAAUAGGAAAA